RNAcentral lists this long non-coding RNA (1088 nucleotides) under Neodiprion pinetum (white pine sawfly). RNAcentral's name for it is "uncharacterized LOC124223188". The record is from RNAcentral. Lineage: Eukaryota; Metazoa; Arthropoda; Insecta; Hymenoptera; Diprionidae.
CUACGUACUGAUGAAAUCAUCCACUAGUAUAGAAAUUUUCAUCAGUUCUGGAAGUUGAUUUGGAAAACGGAUUUUUUUGUCACUGACAGUUUGAAAGAACGGAGAAGAGCCAGAGUUCUACGCACGAAUAUAUCAUCGAAUCUGAAGGAAGAAAAGCUGGAAGUGGGAGGGACUGCCGAUUUCCCACCAGAGUAGACAAUUUCUCGGCAGAGUGAAUGAGCAUACAACCCCAAUUCAACCGAGACACGACGAGCUUGGGGGAAGAAUUUUCAGCCCCCCUCCCCCCGUAGAAAGUGAAAACACUGGCUUCAAGAUUUUGUGGCCAUCGCUUGCAACGAGCUCUGGAGUACGUUUUCGGAAUUUGCGAAACGACGAGGUAGAAUCGAAUACAUCGUCGAAGAGCCCCGCUGGGAGGGACGUCAUCGCCGUCGUCGGCAGGGGGUUAAAGCGACGUUGGAAACGCUCUCGCUUUAAUCACCCCAGAUUGAGAUACUCCUCUCCUCUCUUCUCCUCUUCACACUUCUCUCUUCCUCUCUUCCCGACGAGUUUUACCCCUCGCCAGAGAUUUGGGAUUUGUCUCCUUCUCCCAUUCUCCCAUAGAAUUAACCCUCUUUCACCUUGCGUUAUACACCAUGUCACCUUUGCUCGGGUGUCUGGCAUUAUUCAUCCGAAAGUGGGACGACAAAAGUAGAAUUAAUCAGGUUAUCGAUAGACAAGAAAAACCGAAAAAUGAUUGAAAUAACAGAUAAAUUAAUACGAGAUAAAGAAUGAAACUAAUAAAGUACUGGUUACAUAUGGUAAAUGAGUUGACUGACCUACGAAAAUAAGUUGAAAGAAUAAAUAUUAAUCAAAUUUGGAGGAAUUUAGUAAAGCCUGAUCUAGAAUUUCUGUGAAUUUCAACUGAAAUCACUGUUGAAAGUGACCGUACCUUAUGCAUAGAAAUAUUGUACACGUAUAAUUAUUUUUUGACUAGAAACUGUAACUUGAAAAACUUUGAAAUGAUAAUUAUUGCAUUGGAAUUGACUCGAAUUUUGAGAAGUGAAGAUUUCAAAUGAUCGUGACUGCGGGAAUUUCAUUUUCCAAAAAUU